UCGAGAGGUUAUUUCCGACAUUAUCCGUAGAUCCAAACGACUGACUGAGCUGCAUACAAAAAAGAAAGAAGAAAAAAAGCUGCGAUUAGAUCUAAUGAAUAUCUACUUAUAAUGUGGUGAAAUUGUAUCUUAAAUUGUGUGGGUCUGAUGAGUAUGUUCAAAUUCAAAUGCACAAUGAAUUAAAUAUUUAUUAUAAAACGGUAAGUAUGACAAAUAAGUCGUUAAUAUGCUUAUAUAUACGGUACACAUGGAAUCAGCAGCAGCAUCUAAUCCGAGGAACCCGGAAGGUUGCCUGUGUGUGACGUCACGGUAUCUUCAUCUUUAGCAAAAAGGAACGUCAAAAUCUCAGCAACAGAGGGCGACAAAGAGCAAGAAAUCAAUGCUGUAAUCCUACAGGUUUGAUUGCAGAUUAAUAAAUCACGUUUUCACUUAUUCAAAGACUGACGUAUCUGUGACGUUCAGCGCAGAACAAGAGCGACAUCUGCAUAUACAUAUAGAGUUGCAUCAUUAAUGUAAUUUAGGUCUUCCGUUCAACUAACACGAACACUUAGCGAUUUAGCUGACAAAACAAGUAAACUCGGCCAUAACGACUCGGGGGUUUCUAAGAACAUCCCUUCCUAGUUUCUAUAUUUGGAAAUGACUUCUAGGAAAAUAGAAACUGCCAGCUCCAUAUCCAGUUCCACGUGUUUAACUUGCACCCUUUUAAAGCAAAGGAAAAGCAUCGGGCAGCAGGAUGAUCAGCCACACAUUGAUGAUCAUUAAUAGACUGGAGACUGUCAGCAAGGAAUUUAGCGCACAAUUGGCGUGUGUUGCUGAAAAUGGCAUCUCCCCCUGCACGGCCCCUGCUUUACCUAGUAGCGUGACCAUGAAGCAAUGAACGAGCAGAGAGAUCUUAACAUGCACAGAGUCAGUCUGCUGCUCUAGACGCUUGCUCAUCUCACCAGCAGGAGCACGUAUAGCGUGCACUUAAAGAAACAAGAUCUCAUUCAGAUCAGCCAGAUGUUUCUUUCAGUCCCACAGUGCUGUUUUAUACAUUCGAGAAGCAGACAGAUUGUGUCUGAGAGAGUACCUGAACUCUCUGGGGAGUCGAACACACUGUCUGGGACUCAACUGACGCCUAUGUCUCCUAACAAAAGCCCGUAAUAGGUCGGAUAGCGUUUUAAUAAAGCUAUCUAACGUCAUCCUCAAAUCAUACGCUUGAAAAGUUAGUGAUCGAUUUUGUACCCAUUGUAUUAUGUUAGUGCAUGCAUACAUGUAACAUUUUUCACUUGGAGCCAUGGCUGAAGAAGGUCACUUGCUGUGAUUUGUGAUCAAAUGUCUUAGAAACAAGCCUAAAAAUGUCAAAUUAAUGAGCAUGCAUGGCAUUUGCCAUAUUCAAGUUUAUGUAAAUAACACUUUUCACAAUACAAAGC
Molecule: long non-coding RNA, 1412 nt
Organism: Cyprinus carpio carpio
Lineage: Eukaryota; Metazoa; Chordata; Actinopteri; Cypriniformes; Cyprinidae
Source: Ensembl